GCCACUGAAUGGAGGCUCUCCAGGAUGGCGGGGCCACCGGGGCCCUGGAACCCUAAAUGACUGCAGGGAGCAGAGCUCUGCCUCCCCAUCAACCCACUUCAGAUUCGGCUAUGCCUGAAACGCAGAUGCAAGGGCUGGAGCUCUGCAGACACUGGGACCAGAGGUGACCUUGAGGAUGGAAGCCAUGUGUUGGGAAAAUGGAACAGAAAGAUGAGUGGAACUUGGACUAUGAAUGUCUCUUGCCAUACUUGGACUGUCUGCCUCCAGACAUCCUCUAAAAGAAGAUUUUUAAAAUAACAAUAUACCUUUGUCCCAUUUGAGCCACAACUGUUGAGUUUACUGAUCUAUACUGCCAAACCUAAUUCCACCAAUAUACCUCACGACCCAGCAAUUACGCUCUUCAGAAACUGCCCUAGAGAUGCUCACACAUGCACACAGAGGCACAAAGAUGUUCAGUGUUGCUUGGACUAGCAAAGACAAACAGACAAACGACAAUAUGUAUCUUCUCUAUGGCCACAUAUAUAUGAAUGUAAAUAAGUAGGAAAAGGCCUGGAAGGAAGCACAGCAAAUUGAUGAUGGUGGGUACGGCUGGGGAUGGCGGGGAGUCACAGGAAACCAUAUUCUUCCCCUCAGGAAGAUAUGUUCUUAUUACCUGUGAAGUUAAAACUUACACGUCAAGUUAAAAAGAUAAUAAAAUCCAAAGGGAGAAUAAAAGUAAACUUGAUACUGCAGAAACGUCACAGGCAUGACCUCAUCCAGGCUAUCAAGGUCGACAUCAACAGUGAUACAGUAUGUUGACGGAAUGUACCCAAGAUGCUCUGAAACUGGAACUUUCUCUCUGCGGUCCUCCUCCCAAAACCCAUCACCCCAGUCUAAUCAUGAGAAAAGCACCAGACCAAUCCCAGUAGAGGGUCAUCCUACAAAAUACCUGACCAGUGCUUCUCAAAAGUGUCACUGUCAUCAAAAUGAAGGAGAGAUGAGAGACUGUCACAGCCAAAAGGUGCCUAAGGAGACCGGAAGACCAAUGCGACACCUGGGAAACUGUGACCUGCCACGACGAAGGGGACCGUGCAGACAUGACUGCAUCAAGGCUCUCAGAUGGGGAGAGCGUCCUGGAAUAUCUAGAUUAUCUUCCUGCGGCCUCAUUAUCUUCGCCUAAUGGGAUUAUCAAGAGUACAGAGGCCAGAGAUUAAGCAGACAGCACUGGGCAGAUAAACCCUCAGCUGGCCCCACCCUCACACCCUCCCGCCAUCCCAGCACAGGGGACGGCACGUACUGAACCUGCAGGUGCUGACGUUCUGAAUUCCAGACUCCAGGCACGGGCAGAAGCCUUCGUUGGGUGGGUAGAUGGACCCGUUGGCAAACAGGGUUUUGGGAGCCACGAAGCGAUAGGUGGGGAUGCCUUCAAACACCCCUGACUCCUUGUACAUUAGCUUCAUGGAUCUGCAGGGGACAGACAGGAUGAGAGGGGACACCCAGACCCGGCGGCCAGAGCCAGGCCCUGCCAAAGGCUGCCCAGAUCCAGCCACUUCUCCCCACGGGCGCUACCACCUCCCGGGUCCAAACCGCCCCCAUCUCUCACCCGCGGAGCUGCAGCGACCUCCUAACAGGCCUCUCCGCUCCGACUCUGCCUCCCCACCCACAUCAAUGUAUUAGCCGUGGCCAGAUGGAGUUUUACAAAAGAACAGAGGCCAGGCAUUAUGGCUCACACCUGUAAUCCCAGCACUUUGGGAGGCCGAGGUGGGAGGAUCACUUGAGCCCAGGAGUGUGAGACCAGCCUGGGGAACAUAGUGAGACCCAGUCUCUAAAAAUAAAAUUGUUUUUGAAAGUUAUGAAAUUAAAAAAAGAACAGAAUAUAUCAUGCCCCUGCUGAAAAUCUGUGACCCUUUCUAGUCUAACCUACCAUUAGGAUUCAUUGACCUUAUCUAGCCCCUGCAUAAGCUCUGCUCAGCCCUGCCCCAACUUCCUGUGCCCAGGGCCUCCCUGCAGUUCCUAAGCACACUCACUCCUGCCCCAGGCCCUUUGCAUCACUGCUCCCUCUGCCUAAGAACAGUCUCCUCUGGCAUCUUCAUCCACCAGACUUCAGCCCUUCAGUCAGAUCUCAGUUCAGCUGUCACUUCCUCGGGUGGCAGCACCGUCCCCCACACCCACCCCAUCCACCCUCCAUCCAUUCAUGCUCCUGUACUUUCUCAAAAGCACUUCUGAACUUGAACAUGCACUGUGCUACCCACUCUGUCCACGGCAGCCACUCAGCACGCAUGGCUGUCCAUCCCGCCCUUGACAUGGGGUGAGUCCAAAUUGGGAUG
Long non-coding RNA from Homo sapiens (human), 2306 nucleotides. The record is from Ensembl. NCBI's taxonomy places the organism in Eukaryota, Metazoa, Chordata, Mammalia, Primates, Hominidae.